This 274-nucleotide ribosomal RNA is filed under the name uncultured bacterium. RNAcentral describes it as "partial 16S ribosomal RNA". It matches the Rfam family "Bacterial small subunit ribosomal RNA", at positions 523 to 796 of the family's 1533-position model. The record is from RNAcentral.
AUACGGAGGGUGCGAGCGUUAAUCGGAAUUACUGGGCGUAAAGCGCGCGUAGGCGGAUAAUUAAGUCAGAUGUGAAAUCCCCGGGCUCAACCUGGGAACUGCAUUUGAUACUGAUUAACUAGAGUAUGGUAGAGGUGAGUGGAAUUUCCGGUGUAGCGGUGAAAUGCGUAGAGAUCGGAAGGAACACCAGUGGCGAAGGCGACUCACUGGGCCAUUACUGACGCUGAGGUGCGAAAGCGUGGGUAGCAAACAGGAUUAGAAACCCGAGUAGUCC